UGGCCUUGCGGGCCCGGAACUACGAGUACC
This 30-nucleotide non-coding RNA is filed under the name Homo sapiens (human). The record is from RNAcentral. Lineage: Eukaryota; Metazoa; Chordata; Mammalia; Primates; Hominidae.